Long non-coding RNA from Artibeus jamaicensis (Jamaican fruit-eating bat), 1053 nucleotides. RefSeq lists it as uncharacterized. NCBI's taxonomy places the organism in Eukaryota, Metazoa, Chordata, Mammalia, Chiroptera, Phyllostomidae. The record is from RefSeq and is a predicted model, not a curated record. The transcript is spliced from 3 exons.
CCUCACCCCUCCCAUUUUCUCCCUUCCGCCCAGAGACACCCCAUGUGUACCUCCUCUAGCGGGACACCGGUGCCAACCAACUGAGCUCCAUUUCUCAGGGACAUGAAGGCUCGGAGAGGAGUGACAAAUCCAAGGCCACGCAUCUAGAGGGGCCAUGCUGAAACUGGAGUCCAGACCUGAUUGACCCCAAAGCCCACUGGCCACUCAGCCAUCAGGAGGAACGAUGCUACAGGUCCUGCAUGACUCGGGUCUCAGCUGGCCCUGCAGCAAGAACACUGGCCCCUCUUCUGCACCUGCUUUCACACUGACCUGGGAAGAGCUAGACUUGACAAAUCUCACUCCGCCCCCCCCCCCAGUGGGUGCCCCACCAGGAUGAGUCUCUGUGAUCACCUAGCCAUUAAGUGAUGACUUCCGAGGGGAUGAAGCCUGUCAUGCCCCUUCACAGACCGUUUCCUCACCUAAAAAGAGACAUGGCAUUCUCCUCUUCCCUCCUCCCGUUUGUGAAGACUCAUGAUUUUGUUUGGGGGAAGGGUUAAGAAGGUGCACAUGUAAUUCACAAUAUGACAUUUUUGUUGUCAUGAUUUCCCAAAUUGAUUGUGGCCUGAGAACCCACUGUCUUUGAGGUCUCUGGUCAGGGCUCUCUCUCCCUCUCUCUCCUUCACACACGGCUGUUUAUAUAGGCAGGGAUUAAAUACCGAGUAAGAAAGGACAGUGCCCACUGGACAACAAAGUAGCCCUCCCCUAGACUGCAACCCCAUAAUCCCAUGGACCCCCUGGCAGGUGGUGCUCCGAGAGGCCUGUCCCCCACCCAGUCCUGAUAACUUAAUUCUCACUUAAGUCACCAAGGCCCAGGAGGCAGGCAGGCAGGGAGGAAGGAGUGUCUUCUGUCUCUUAACCUGCCCCUUCCCUGGGGGCCAGGCCUCUGGUAAGUCUUGAGGGGAUCCCCACAGGAUAGCAAGGCUCAGGAUGGGGAUCUCCACAGCAGAGAAGGCAGAGAUCAGGUUACAAACAGAAAGCUGACGACCAUUUUUAUUUUUCCCUGGGAUGCUGGUG